CACGUAGGGCGCGAGCGUUGUCCGGAAUUAUUGGGCGUAAAGAGCUCGUAGGCGGCCUGUUGCGUCCGCUGUGAAAGCCCGGGGCUUAACCCCGGGUCGGCAGUGGAUACGGGCAGGCUAGAGGUAGGUAGGGGAGAAUGGAAUUCCCGGUGUAGCGGUGAAAUGCGCAGAUAUCGGGAGGAACACCAAUGGCGAAGGCAGCUUGCUGGGACGGUACUGACGCUGAGGCGCGAAAGCGUGGGGAGCAAACAGG
This 253-nucleotide ribosomal RNA is filed under the name uncultured bacterium. RNAcentral's name for it is "partial 16S ribosomal RNA". It matches the Rfam family "Bacterial small subunit ribosomal RNA", at positions 524 to 776 of the family's 1533-position model. The record is from RNAcentral.